UGUUAAAUUAUGGUGAGAUGAAAAAUAGGGGAAAGCCCGUGUUAGGACAUUAAAGUACGUGAUCACCUUUUAGGGUGAGAGAGAUUUGUAUUGAUCCCUUAUUUUAAAAUUUGAUUGUCUUGUGGAAAAGGAUAUUAUUAUUGUAAGGGCAUACGAUUACAUUAAUUAGACAUAUUGGUUGGCCUUAGUUGAUAUCUAUAAUUAGGUGCUU
RNAcentral lists this long non-coding RNA (211 nucleotides) under Capsicum annuum. Its description in RNAcentral is "long non-coding RNA (CANN_LNC005109)". Lineage: Eukaryota; Viridiplantae; Streptophyta; Magnoliopsida; Solanales; Solanaceae. The record is from RNAcentral.